ACGUAGGGUGCGAGCGUUAAUCGGAAUUACUGGGCGUAAAGCGUGCGCAGGCGGUUUUGUAAGACAGAUGUGAAAUCCCCGGGCUUAACCUGGGAACUGCGUUUGUGACUGGGAGACUUGAGUGCAGCAGAGGACAGUGGAACUCCAUGUGUAGCGGUGAAAUGCGUAGAUAUGUGGAAGAACACCGGUGGCGAAGGCGGCCCCCUGGGCCGACACUGACGCUCAGGCUCGAAAGCGUGGGGAGCAAACAG
Molecule: ribosomal RNA, 251 nt
Filed under: uncultured prokaryote
Description: partial 16S ribosomal RNA
Rfam family: Bacterial small subunit ribosomal RNA
Source: RNAcentral